CAAUAGCGUAUAUUAAAGUUGUUGCAGUUAAAAAGCUCGUAGUUGAAUUUUUGCUUGCCGCCGAUGUCGGAACUUCCGUACGUUCGGCGGCGUGCAUCCUUGGGUGGAACCUGUGUGGCAUUAGGUUGUCGUGCAGGGGAUGCUCAUCGUUUACUGUGAAAAAGUUAGAGUGUUCAAAGCAGGCUUACGCCGUUGAAUAUAUUAGCAUGGAAUAAUAAGAUAGGACCUUGGUACUAUUUUGUUGGUUUGCGCACCGAGGUAAUGAUUAACAGGGACAGUUGGGGGUAUUCGUAUUCCAUUGUCAGAGGUGAAAUUCUUGGAUUUCUGGAAGACGAACUACUGCGAAAGCAUUUACCAAGGAUGUUUUCAUUAA
Molecule: ribosomal RNA, 373 nt
Filed under: uncultured eukaryote
Lineage: Eukaryota
Description: partial 18S ribosomal RNA
Rfam family: Eukaryotic small subunit ribosomal RNA
Source: RNAcentral